CCACGUCUCAGUUUAUUUUUCAGCCGCCCCGUUUUGUCGUCUCCUCCCUCUCUCUCUUCUUUCUCCCUCUACCUCUUUCUCUGUCCCUUUGCGUUUGACUCCUCUCCUCCGCCCUUUCCCCCCUACCUCGCGUGCUCUUCUCUACCUUCUCCUUCUUUUUAUCCUUCUCCUCCUCCCCUCACUCUCGCUCGCAUCGCCCUCUCUCUCUCUCUCUCN
This 216-nucleotide long non-coding RNA is filed under the name Elaeis guineensis (African oil palm). RNAcentral describes it as "long non-coding RNA (EGUI_LNC035306)". Lineage: Eukaryota; Viridiplantae; Streptophyta; Magnoliopsida; Arecales; Arecaceae. The record is from RNAcentral.